UGCGUAGGCGGAUUAAUAAGUCAGUGGUGAAAUCUUUCGGCUCAACCUAGAAACUGCCAUUGAUACUGUUAAUCUUGAGUUCGGUUGAGGUAGGCGGAAUGUGUAAUGUAGCGGUGAAAUGCUUAGAUAUUACACAGAACACCAAUUGCGUAGGCAGCUUACUAGACCGACACUGACGCUGAGGCACGAAAGCGUGUGGAGCGAACAGGAUUAGAUACCCUGGUAGUCC
RNAcentral lists this ribosomal RNA (229 nucleotides) under uncultured bacterium. Its description in RNAcentral is "partial 16S ribosomal RNA". It matches the Rfam family "Bacterial small subunit ribosomal RNA", at positions 568 to 796 of the family's 1533-position model. The record is from RNAcentral.